CCAAGUGAUGGUGGGAGGUUUUCCAAACCUGUGAAAUUUCCUUCGUUGCUGAUAAUUGUUUUUGUUUUUAGUUAUAUUCAUGUUUGUAGUUUACUAAAUAAUAUCAAUGGAUGGUUUACUAAAUACUUAUAUGUGGCAGAACUUGAAUCAUCCCUUCAUAUUUACUAAGUUAAUAUUUUGCACAACAAGUUAUGAUAAAAUAGUGAUAGUUUUGGUGGACUUUGUCGAGGUGUUUCUGUUUUUUGUGGUGUUCUCUCGAGGGGCAGCAGGCUGUGUAGUGCCUCUGUGUUGGCUGCGUGAGGCUGCUGCUAUUUUAGGUAGCAGGUUUUUGGUUUUGUCACUCGGAACCGUUGUGAUGUUGGUGUUUUAGGGGCUGCAUCUCUUUUGUUUUGUGCCUAGCCUUUUUCUUUUGUUUUCUUUCUGUAAUCAUGAGGCAGGCGUAUGCGUUUGAUUUGUGUUUUAUAGGGUCCUGAUGUUGUUUAUAGCUCACUGGUUUAGCAAUAGCAUAUUACAUGAAGAAUUUUCCAAUUAGGCAUUUGGAUCUGUAAGCCAUAGAUGAUACUACUUCUCCAAAAAAAAAUUAAAUGCAUCUUAAAUCGCCCUAGAUGUUUAAGAACUGCAUCUAACAUCACUAUAUGUUCUGUGUUUCAUAUUUCAACCACAAGUAAUCUAUCUUCUAUGAGUGGUCAAGGGACCCAAAUAAUUGUUUGGUGCGGUAGCGAAUUUGUUUUGUUUCUAUUCGGCUGCUGAGUAUUCUGCAUCUGUUUAAUGGGGUAACAGAAUUUUAGUUCAAUAUUGGGGUUGGUUGGUGGUGUUACAGGGCUGGACUAUUUUCGAAGUGUUUUACUAAUUGCAACCUCAUAUACCUUACUAUUUUUCCUUUGGUUCAAGUUGUUUCCCUUUUCUUGAGAUUUAUUAUUUGGUAUUGUUAUUUUCAAUGUUGCAGGUUGUACAACAAGGUCUACAAAGGUUUGCUGUGUAUAUAAGUUUGCAACAGGCGUAAACACCCCACCCAACAAGACAACACUGUACACAAAGCAGGCCUACUGCCCAGCCACAUAGAAGCUGCGAACAGGAGCUGCUGCAUACCCAUAAAUUAUACAAAAAAACUCCCACAAAACAGCAACAAACAAACAGCAGCAUCCCCCUCCAACAGAAACAGGCAACAAACAAUGCAAGUAUGUGACAAAGGACUACUAACUAAAGGAUGUAUUACAGUAGCAACAUAAAUUAUGAAUUCUACCGUUUUGACAAUCAAUGAAACAAUUUCAAUACGUUAAUAUGUAAUUACUAUGAUGUGGCUGGGUCAAGUACAAGUAAAAUAGGAUGUUUACUUUUUUUUUAAGCAUGUAAUUAGGCGUUUAAUGUAGUUUUAUUUUGUUGGUUGUAAUGAUUAUACAUUAGAGAUGGAGUUUGAGCUUCUAUGCUAAGCUCUAUAUUGUUAAAAAAAAGGCUUAAAUGCGUUUUUGGUCCCUUAAGUAUUUAUUUGGUAUCGUUUUGGUCCCUUAACUAAAAAAAAGAUUGUUUGAGUAUUUUAUCUUUAUCUCCGUUACCUGUUUUGGUCCCUUCCGUUAAAUAAAUUCAAAAAAAUGUUAGGGUUUAUAUUAUUCAUCUUCUUCCUUCUCCCUCCAUCUUCCUCUUCAUGAUCUUCAUCAUCAACAACACACCAACCCAAGAAAAAAAAAAAAUACUUUUUCAUCAUCAUGAGUCCAUUUUACCGGCAAGGCGAAAAUUCUCUUUUCGAAAUUUUCCACGACAGCGUACUCAGUCGGGUAUAUCUUAGUCCA
RNAcentral lists this long non-coding RNA (1787 nucleotides) under Medicago truncatula (barrel medic). Its description in RNAcentral is "long non-coding RNA (MTRU_LNC006733)". The record is from RNAcentral. Lineage: Eukaryota; Viridiplantae; Streptophyta; Magnoliopsida; Fabales; Fabaceae.